Molecule: ribosomal RNA, 446 nt
Filed under: uncultured bacterium
Lineage: Bacteria
Description: partial 16S ribosomal RNA
Rfam family: Bacterial small subunit ribosomal RNA
Source: RNAcentral
CCUACGGGGUGCAGCAGUCGAGAAUCAUUCACAAUGGGGGCAACCCUGAUGGUGCGACGCCGCGUGGGGGAAUGAAGGUCUUCGGUUUGUAAAUCCCUGUCAUGUGGGAGCAAAUUAAAAAGAUAGUACCACAAGAGGAAGAGACGGCUAACUCUGUGCCAGCAGCCGCGGUAAUACAGAGGUCUCAAGCGUUGUUCGGAAUCACGGGGCGUAAAGCGUGCGUAGGCUGUUUCGUAAGUCGUGUGUGAAAGGCGCGGGCUCAACCCGCGGACGGCACAUGAUACUGCGAGACUAGAGUAAUGGAGGGGGAACCGGAAUUCUCGGUGUAGCAGUGAAAUGCGUAGAUAUCGAGAGGAACACUCGUGGCGAAGGCGGGUUCCUGGACAUUAACUGACGCUGAGGCACGAAGGCCAGGGGAGCGAAAGGGAUUAGAUACCCGAGUAGUC